This 495-nucleotide ribosomal RNA is filed under the name uncultured bacterium. Its description in RNAcentral is "bacterial SSU rRNA". It matches the Rfam family "Bacterial small subunit ribosomal RNA", at positions 29 to 518 of the family's 1533-position model. The record is from RNAcentral.
AUUGAACGCUGGCGGCAUGCCUUACACAUGCAAGUCGAACGGCAGCACGGGAGCAAUCCUGGUGGCGAGUGGCGAACGGGUGAGUAAUAUAUCGGAACGUGCCCAGUAGUGGGGGAUAGCCCGGCGAAAGCCGGAUUAAUACCGCAUGAGACCUGAGGGUGAAAGCGGGGGAUCGCAAGACCUCGCGCUACUGGAGCGGCCGAUAUCAGAUUAGCUAGUUGGUGGGGUAAAGGCCUACCAAGGCAACGAUCUGUAGUUGGUCUGAGAGGACGACCAGCCACACUGGGACUGAGACACGGCCCAGACUCCUACGGGAGGCAGCAGUGGGGAAUAUUGGACAAUGGGCGCAAGCCUGAUCCAGCAAUGCCGCGUGUGUGAAGAAGGCCUGCGGGUUGUAAAGCACUUUCAGUGGGGAAGAACGGAUACGGGCCAAUACCCCGCAUCACUGACGUUACCCACAGAAGAAGCACCGGCUAACUCCGUGCCAGCAGCCGC